Mauremys mutica (yellowpond turtle) is the source of this 1127-nucleotide non-coding RNA. The record is from the annotation of a RefSeq genome assembly. Lineage: Eukaryota; Metazoa; Chordata; Testudines; Geoemydidae.
AAGAAGCUUCAUUCUUGGGCUUUAGGGAGAAUUUUUCAUCCCACUUCAUCCCUGAAAUAUGUUCCUCCCCUGGGUCUCUGUCCUUACACUACUUCCGGUUCUGGAAGGGGCUAAUGGAGAGUCCGUGACACAGCCUGAUGACCGAGUGACUGUAUCCCAAGGGGAGCCAGUGCUGCUGAAAUGCGCCUAUGACACUUCCUAUGUGCCUACACUCUGGUGGUACGAGCACUACGCGAAUGAAGCCCCUCGCCUCUUGCUGGGAGACUAUGAAGCAUCGGGUGAGGAGGAGAGAAGGAGCCGGCGAGGGUUCUCCGCCACACCCGACAAACAGGGGAAUACCUUCCACCUGGAGAAAAACUCCAGUGAACUGCGCGACUCCGCCGUCUAUUACUGCGCCAUGAGCGACACGGUGAUUGCGCCCAGCAGGGUCGCUGCACAAAAGCCCGCUGACGGAAGAUGAGGAGACACAAAGAUUUUGUGGUUUAGCUGCCCAAAUGGUUUUAAUCUGCGUAGCAACUAUGGUGUGAACGGUCCAGAUUCCAGAUGGUGUUAAUCUGCCCAUGUCCCCUGGAGUCAAUGGCGCAGAUCCCACGUUGGCGCUAACUGGUCAUAGCUGCGCUAAAAAAUGGUCCAGUUCCUCAUUUGUUUUGAAGCAGUGAACGUCCUAGGAAUCAUUUGAGCUACUCCAGUUUACAGCAGCAGAGGCUCUGACCCGUUACAUAUCUAUGGGAUUGUGAAACUAAAAAUGCAACGUGUUACUUUUCCCCAACAGGAUACCUAAAAAUGCAAAUCCUGUCAUUAAUUUUUCCAAAAUUAGUUCCUCUUGUAGCUCCCCAGGUGUCUCUUGUGUGAAGGUUUUAGAAAUGGAAUGAGGUAGAAAUUGGGAAGGUAGGAACAUUGGAAUUACCAGACUCUAUCAGAACAGAGGGCCAUCCGGUUCAAUGUUCGCUCUUUAAUUGUAUCUGCUCCCAGAUGCUUCUGAGGAAGGGACGAGACAAGACACCUGGCACUGGGUAAUUAUGGGAUAAUCUCUGAUAGGGAAGUUUUUCCCCUAAUCCUGGACGAAUGUCAAUUUGUUUGAGACUGCAGAGUUUCAUCCACCUUGAAAUUGUAUCAAGUAGCAGAGG